UAAUCGCCGACUUUUUUCAAGCUCGUGAUGAAGAAAGCUUGUUCUUUUGUUAGUAAUCUCCUUUUAACUUCUGGAUGAGAGUGCACUAGCUGAUGGAUAAGUGGAUAUUAUUUUAGGAUCCAGCAUUUUUGCUUUUGGAAUUCUAUGGCCUUACAUUAAUUGGACCUAUGAUGAUUAAUUCCUACGCAAAGGACUGUCAAAU
Pelobates cultripes (western spadefoot toad) is the source of this 202-nucleotide non-coding RNA. The record is from the annotation of a GenBank genome assembly. Lineage: Eukaryota; Metazoa; Chordata; Amphibia; Anura; Pelobatidae.